UACGUAGGGGGCUAGCGUUGUCCGGAAUCAUUGGGCGUAAAGCGCGUGUAGGCGGCCCGGUAAGUCCGCUGUGAAAGUCGGGGGCUCAACCCUCGGAUGCCGGUGGAUACUGUCGGGCUCGAGUACGGAAGAGGCGAGUGGAAUUCCUGGUGUAGCGGUGAAAUGCGCAGAUAUCAGGAGGAACACCAAUUGCGAAGGCAGCUCGCUGGGACGUUACUGACGCUGAGACGCGAAAGCUAGGGGAGCAAACAGG
RNAcentral lists this ribosomal RNA (253 nucleotides) under uncultured bacterium. RNAcentral describes it as "partial 16S ribosomal RNA". It matches the Rfam family "Bacterial small subunit ribosomal RNA", at positions 524 to 776 of the family's 1533-position model. The record is from RNAcentral.